ACGAACGCUGGCGGCGUGCUUAACACAUGCAAGUCGAACGGAAAGGCCCUUCGGGGUACUCGAGUGGCGAACGGGUGAGUAACACGUGGGUGAUCUGCCCUGCACUUUGGGAUAAGCCUGGGAAACUGGGUCUAAUACCGAAUAGGACCACGCGCUUCAUGGUGUGUGGUGGAAAGCUUUUGCGGUGUGGGAUGGGCCCGCGGCCUAUCAGCUUGUUGGUGGGGUAAUGGCCUACCAAGGCGACGACGGGUAGCCGGCCUGAGAGGGUGACCGGCCACACUGGGACUGAGAUACGGCCCAGACUCCUACGGGAGGCAGCAGUGGGGAAUAUUGCACAAUGGGCGCAAGCCUGAUGCAGCGACGCCGCGUGAGGGAUGACGGCCUUCGGGUUGUAAACCUCUUUCACCAGGGACGAAGCGUAAGUGACGGUACCCGGAGAAGAAGCACCGGCCAACUACGUG
RNAcentral lists this ribosomal RNA (461 nucleotides) under uncultured bacterium. RNAcentral's name for it is "partial 16S ribosomal RNA". It matches the Rfam family "Bacterial small subunit ribosomal RNA", at positions 29 to 507 of the family's 1533-position model. The record is from RNAcentral.